Molecule: long non-coding RNA, 125 nt
Organism: Hibiscus syriacus
Lineage: Eukaryota; Viridiplantae; Streptophyta; Magnoliopsida; Malvales; Malvaceae
Exons: 3
Source: RefSeq, a predicted model, not a curated record
CCAUAGGUUAUUAAAAAUAGUGUAAAUCCCAAAACUUACAUAGUUAAAUGCUAAAGCUUCGACCCGAGAAUCCAACAACUGGUUCAUGUCUAAAGAUUUUCCAGUUUGUUUUUUGGGUAGCAAUG